UGUCAAUGCAAACACAUCACAUAGAGACUGCCCUUAACACACUGUAAGAUCUACUAACCGUACUCGCAGUGACAGUAACAUACGUACGGGGAUCGAACCCGCGACCUUGGCGUUAUUAGCGCCACGCUAUAACCAACUGAGCUAACCGGCCAUGUGCAGUGCAGAAAAAAUACACAUAAUUGGCCUGCAAGUAUUUAUUUGGUGAGUUUGUCCAUCGUGUAUACUGAAGUCAUGACGACUGAUGUAUUUAUCGGAGUGACAGUCAGGCUUUUUGCUGUUGCCAGGUUAGGUAGCUUUCUGCUAAAUAUGAAGGCCUGUGUACGGUGUGUUUUAGCCGGGGUUUCGCCUGGAAGACUCUGGACAUCUGGCACACUUACGCCACUCACAGACGCCAGAAUGAGCGCAUUCAACACCAACGCUCUCACAUGCAAAUAAAGAACAAUACGUUCACAUUCACCCGAAAUAUGAACGCUUUCCGGCACAACACUGGACAGAGGUAUAGUUCAUCAAGCUUAGGCAACUGUGUCAUGAAGGUCGAACACAACAGACUAAAAAAAGAGAAAGGUUGGUCAAAAAUAGCCGAUACACUUCAACAACCUGGUGACCACCUGGUGUUUGCGUUAACAUAAACCCAUAAAUCCUCUUCCUGGGAGUCGUCUAGUCCAGCCCCUCUUCCUUCAAUUGUCAUCACGUCUAUCACGGUGAUUGAUCGGGGACUACGCUGCAGCCUGUCGUGUCUGUUAAAUAAGCUCUGGCACAAACUUCUGGCUCUGUGAUCACCUGAUCCUCUGUUCGGUCUCAGGAACCCCCCCUCUCAAUAUCUGUCCACAAUAACAUCAUGUCAGUGGCAUGUGCUAUGACGCAUGGCAGGAGUCACCUCUGACCCCUGGUAAAAAUGACCUCACCUUCAGCAGCCCCAAGGUCUUAGUGACAAUCAGUGCAGCAGAUGCCUGACUGCUGACUCAGUCCAGGUCUGAACCAAAAUAUAAAUACCAAAGAUGAAAACAAACCCGAUGGAGUCGAUCCUCUUCCUUCAGGGUUCAGGUUUCUAUAAUCUGCUAACAAUCUGGAGGCUCACUGCAAACAAAAAAAGGAUGGUUAGGAAUUAAAGAAAACAGUGAUCUCAGCAACUUCAAAGUCUGCAGGUUGGAGGAGAAACAUGUGAAUGAAAGAGCUUUCUGCAAUGUGGAGGAUAUUUGUAUGAACGUCUGCAAAGCCAAGAGUGUUUGUCAGGACUGAAAACAGCUGCAGGUCAUUCAUAAAGAGUCCUAAUGGAGGGCGGUUUGUCUCUCAGGACCAGAAAAGUGAUCAGUAACAACACAAAAGUUACACCACAGCUCUGAUAAUGUCACAAGUUUGGACCUAAACUCCACCCGAGGUCAAGAACUCUAUUAAUAAAACGAUUUCUGUUUGUUUCUCUGGAUCAGGUUGAAUCACAGGUCACACAUAAACGAGACCAGCAGCAAAGAUUACCAUUAAAAAACCUCCUUCAUUGAAGCAACAUGUGAAUAUUAAAGCGGCCGCUGCACCCAGAGCAGUAAAAACACUCAGAGCUUUUUCUGGGAGCGCAGAGUGACCUCGUGUCCUCACUUCAAAGCUUCCCCACAGCUGGUUCACAACAUCGCUCUGACAUAUUUUAUGUAUUAUAUGAAGCUGUAAAAGUACGCCGGUUAUCCACAAGCAUCAAGUUACUUAUUAGUGAGAGUCUGAGAGGCUUUUAAAGAGCAGAGAGAGCGCACUGGAGAGACUGAUUUAGUAUCCACACAGACCAUAUAUACUCACAUUUUUAAAAUGAGACGCUGCAGAGUUUGUCGGGUCUGUAAGUAAACAGAAAAGUCUGAAUUAAGUUUGAUAUAGAGUGUAGGAACUGGCAUAUUUGGCUCAUCCUGGCCGACAGAUUCUACAUCUAAACGCUCCCUCGCUCACUCCUCAAAUUAGCGAAGCGACCGCAGUUAUUGAGGACAAUAAGAGACUGAGAUUGAUCAAAAUGACCUUCAUAACAAAUACUUAUGAGCGUUACAACCACUCUUCUCCUCUUCCUCUUUCAACUGGUGUAAUUUCAGCAGCAAAAAAGAAAAACAAAAUGCUCCUCACUGGUAGAAAUAUUUAAAACUGGACCAGCUUGUUGUGCAGAUCUGAAUCAUUGAAAACCCUUAAAUAUCUAGGUUGUACAGUUGGUGAUACAGAUUUGGUAAUGUCGUAUUCUUAGUGUCACUGUCAACAACACAUCGCACAGAGACUAUCAUUAACACACUGUAAGAUCUACUAACAAUACUUGCAGUGACAGUAACAUAAUUAUUGGCCCGUACGGGGAUCGAACCCGCGACCUUGGCGUUAUUAGCACUACGCUCUAACCAACUGAGCUAACCGGCCAUGUGCAGCUAUGAGAAAGCACAGAAUAUCUCGCCGUAAGUAUUUAUUUGGUGAAGGGACAGCUAAUAAACACAAGCACAUCCACAAAAGCUGUCACUUGGACUAAAUAAAUACAUUUUAAAAAGGCUGUCUUAAAAGAAAUUAAAUUCUCGAUUGUGGUCUGAGCCUUGACAACUUGUGCAAAGCUACCCAAAGUUAGCCCUUGCGCGCAGAUAGCUGUGAAACAACUGUACUUUACGAUUAAAUCUUUUUUUUUUCUCAAAGUAAAUCUGCCAUUUCUAUAUGUCCAAGCAUCCCGACUCAUAGCCACGUUAUUAAGGUCUGUAAUAAACCAAACCAUUCGUAAAUCUGUCAAGAUUUCAGCGAUUUUUUUUUGAUCAUGCAGAUUACUCACCUUCCGUCAGUUCCAGAAUCGUAUACUGGAGUAAGAUGGCUGCCGUGUAGGGACGCCGGUGACUCCGCCUCAAGUCAUCUAGCCUUCCUAGCUUAUGGAGCUGUGGACAAACAUGUUGACAUGUAGUUACUGUCAGACUGGUUUGUGCUCAAGUCCUCUUUUUCUGUACUGCUCCAUUUUUAAAAGUUGUUAGAGGGUUCGUGUUUUCUGUUAUUGACACCUGAUACAGCCUAUAGGGGUAUGAAGAUUGCAUAGCUCACCGAGGGAUACGCUGUUUGCACGAGCGUCAUCGCAGCAACUUUUGGCGACUCUCCCUCCAAAUGCGUACAAUGCAAUUGCGCAAGUGGUGAAGUGUAUACAACACUGCUGCGCAAUGUUGGUUUCAAGUACUGGAGAAAAAUCGGGAAAAUUUUGACCUUUCAAACUUCUAAUUUAAAUUUUCUUCUCAUUUAUUUCCUGUAUUUUUAAUAUCACCUUCUGAUCUUUCUGGUUGCACAGCAGGUGACAAAGUUUUCAUGUCACUGUUUUUGGAUGUAUUGCUGUCAAUGUAGACAUGCUGCAUAGAGACUGUUAAUUAACACACAGGUAGCAUCUCCUUGCCAAAUUUACACUGACAGUAACAUAACUAUUGGCCCGUACGGGGAUCGAACCCGCGACCUUGGCGUUAUUAGCACCACGUUCUAACCAACUGAGCUAACCGGCCUUAUGCAAUACAGAAAAAAUACAGAAAGUUGUACUGCAAGUAUCUAUUUGGUAAAUUCGUAUAAUUAUGAUAUUUCUAUUGUGUCUAAACCAUAGACUGUAUAUACUAUGGACCACUUGGUUCCGCCUACCGCCUUUAUAUGGAUUUGAAGCCAAAAAGCUCUCUGUAUUUCCGGGAUUUUUCUUCAUUUCCUGAAACCAGCUGCGCAGUAGAGAGUCGCUGUGAUGACUCUCGGCUCAAACAGCGUAUCCCCCGGGUGAACUACGCAAUCCCUGAAGGCCCAUUGGCUGUGUCAGGUGUCAAUCACAGAAAUCAUGAACCCCCUAAUAACUUUUAAAAACGGAGCUUCACAGAAAAAAAAAAGGACUUUGAGCACAAACCAGUCUUACUGUAACUUCAUGUCAACAUCACAAUCAGGAGGGAGAAAAAUUUAUGUUCUGUGUAAUAAAUUUCUAAAGUUUGUCCACAGUCCCAUUAGCUUUGCUGGCGGAGGCGGGAUUUAUGACCUGUACUGCAGCCCACCAUCAGAGGGUGCUGUUCUCUGAGUAGCUUCACCCAGCGAGGAGGCAGACUCUGGCUGUGUCCGAAAUGGCAUACUGCCUACUAUCUACUUACCUACUCAAGCAGUAGCUACUGCCUACUGACUACUCAAAGAGGAUUUGAGUAUGCCGCGGCUGCCCGAGCGUUUACACACAUACAUACUAAAUACCCCAGAAUGCAUUUCGUGCCGGCCGGACGCAGCGCCGGGAAAAUUUAAAUAGUCCUACCACAAGCCACACAGAACGACUGCAUCCCGGACAAAUUAUAUAAAUUCAUUCAAUAAUAAUAUUUUUUUCUAGCGAGAAAGUAAGUGUUUACAUCACGAUUAUGAGCCCAGUUGUUUGAAAUAGUGGCUGUUUGUAAAUUUGUCUCGGCGUUUUCGGAGACCGAAGCGUCCACUUGGUCGGUGUUUGCGUCAGCAGCCCCCCCUUCACGUUUCCAAAUUAUUGCGAAGUGUUUUCAUCAUCACCAUCUACACGACACAAACCGGGCGGCAGUGGAUGAAAAAAAUCACCCAAACAUCCGUGUAUCCAUGGUGAUAAUGCUAUACACCACCUGCUGGCCGUGUGAUGAGCAGCAGAGGGCUGCAAAAUGACCAACACACAACAUAAUUAUUAUGACCUUGUUCGGUUAUUCCUUGGCAAAUACAUCAUUUCCCGACUACAUUCUUUUCAUGUACAAUGAUAAUUUCAGAAACCAUCAGAUUUUCAAUCACAAGUAAGAAUUAGUAAAGCUCACAUAGAUUGUCAACUGGAAACUCCCCUGUUUGUAUAUUCUGAACCAUGUGCUCUCUACCAAAGAUAAUUUUUAUUAAUCAGAGGUCUGUGCUUAAUAUGAGCGACCACUUUGAUGAUGCAUUCAGAGAUGAGAAGAUGCUCAAACUUGAUGUAAUAAAUACAUCUUUAAUAGACACUUAAAUAAAUAAAGUCAAUUCAUACGAAUAGUUAAAAACAUUGCCUAUAAUCCUAAUUUAAAAUACAAAUAAAUCCGGUAAAAAGAUCAAAAUAUGAUAAAAUGAUGAAAAUUGUGUAAUGUAUACGGACUAAAUAUUGUUUAUCUAUUUAUAUAUAUAUCAUUAUUAUUGCAAUCACAUGCCAUCUAUUUCUUUUCAGCCUCGGGAAGGAGGGCCAUAUUACCAGCUGAGGUGCGCAAUGCAUUGUGGGGCAGAAGCAGUACUGAAGCAAGCUCCGUUGCACACUCAGAAAUCGAAGCCGAUUGAGUAUACAUCCGGGCAUUUCUCGCAUACACAAAAUUCGCAUACUGUACAGUGUGAAUACUCAAUUCAGAGGCGGGGUUAGUAGGAGUAGUAGGAGUAGUAGGCCAUUUCGGACACAGCCUCUGUCCAUCUUAUAUACAGUCUAUGGACUUUACCCAGUGAGGAGGAAGAUGGUCUAUGGUCAAUGUCGAUAUGCUGCAUAUAGACUGUCAAUUAACACACCGGUAACAUCUCCUCACCCAACUUGCAGUGACAGUAACAUAAUUAUUGGCCCGUACGGGGAUCGAACCCGCGACCUUGGCGUUAUUAGCACCACGCUCUAACCAACUGAGCUAACCGGCCAUGU
Molecule: non-coding RNA, 5572 nt
Organism: Xyrichtys novacula (pearly razorfish)
Lineage: Eukaryota; Metazoa; Chordata; Actinopteri; Labriformes; Labridae
Source: the annotation of a GenBank genome assembly